RNAcentral lists this ribosomal RNA (497 nucleotides) under uncultured bacterium. Its description in RNAcentral is "partial 16S ribosomal RNA". It matches the Rfam family "Bacterial small subunit ribosomal RNA", at positions 28 to 507 of the family's 1533-position model. The record is from RNAcentral.
GAUGAACGCUGGCGGCGUGCCUAAUACAUGCAAGUCGAGCGAACGGACGAGAAGCUUGCUUUUCUGAUGUUAGCGGCGGACGGGUGAGUAACACGUGGAUAACCUACCUAUAAGACUGGGAUAACUUCGGGAAACCGGCGCUAAUACCGGAUAAUAUUUUGAACCGCAUUGUUCAAAAGUGACAGACGGUCUUGCUGUCACUUAUAGAUGGAUCCGCGCUGCAUUAGCUAGUUGUUAAGUUAACGGCUUACCAAGGCAAGUAUGCAUAGCCGACCUGAGAGGCGGAUAGGCCACCUGGGAGCGGGGACAGGGACAAGAGGACUACGGGAGGCAGCAGUAGGGAAUGGUCGGCAAUGGGCGAAAGCAUGACGGAGCAAGGCCGAGUGAGUGAUGAAGGUCUUGGGAUCGUAAAAAUCGGUUAUUAGGUAAGAACAGAUGUGUAAGUAACUGUGCACAGCUUGACGGUACUUAAUCAGAAAGCCACGGCUAACUACGUG